AUUGAACGCUGGCGGCAGGCCUAACACAUGCAAGUCGAACGGUAACAGGAAGCAGCUUGCUGCUUUGCUGACGAGCGGCGGACGGGUGAGUAAUGUCUGGGAAACUGCCUGAUGGAGGGGGAUAACUACUGGAAACGGUAGCUAAUACCGCAUAACGUCGCAAGACCAAAGAGGGGGACCUUCGGGCCUCUUGCCAUCGGAUGUGCCCAGAUGGGAUUAGCUAGUAGGUGGGGUAACGGCUCACCUGGGCGACGAUCCCUAGCUGGUCUGAGAGGAUGACCAGCCACACUGGAACUGAGACACGGUCCAGACUCCUACGGGAGGCAGCAGUGGGGAAUAUUGCACAAUGGGCGCAAGCCUGAUGCAGCCAUGCCGCGUGUAUGAAGAAGGCCUUCGGGUUGUAAAGUACUUUCAGCGGGGAGGAAGGGAGUAAAGUUAAUACCUUUGCUCAUUGACGUUACCCGCAGAAGAAGCACCGGCUAACUCCGUG
RNAcentral lists this ribosomal RNA (490 nucleotides) under uncultured bacterium. RNAcentral's name for it is "partial 16S ribosomal RNA". It matches the Rfam family "Bacterial small subunit ribosomal RNA", at positions 30 to 507 of the family's 1533-position model. The record is from RNAcentral.